UCAACCAUCAAGCCUGGGCUUGUCGUUGAACCCGCCCGUGACUGGGAGGGUUCCAAAGUCAGUGGCGAGGCGAGUCGGACCCUCGAUGCAACGAGCGGUUUCUCAACCAGCACGCACCGUAGUGGACCGACCACCUCUGACCUCUCUUUUUAAAUUUUUCA
Molecule: unclassified non-coding RNA, 161 nt
Filed under: uncultured Eurotiomycetes
Lineage: Eukaryota; Fungi; Ascomycota; Eurotiomycetes
Description: sequence contains ITS2
Source: RNAcentral